RNAcentral lists this ribosomal RNA (231 nucleotides) under uncultured bacterium. RNAcentral describes it as "partial 16S ribosomal RNA". It matches the Rfam family "Bacterial small subunit ribosomal RNA", at positions 15 to 228 of the family's 1533-position model. The record is from RNAcentral.
GAUCAUGCUCAGGACGAACGCUGGCGGCGUGCUUAACACAUGCAAGUCGAACGAGAAUCUGUGGAUUGAGGAUUCGUCCAAGUGAAGCAGAGGACAGUGGCGGACGGGUGAGUAACGCGUGAGGAACCUGCCUUUCAGAGGGGGACGAACAGUUGGAAACGACUGCUAAUACCGCAUGAUACGUUUUAGGGGUCAUCCCUGAGACGUCAAAGAUUUAUCGCUGAAAGAUGG